UCCGAGUUGACCCCGGCAGUCUCCCACGAGUCCCCACCACACCGAAGUGCGUGCUGGCAACAUAGGACAAGGGUUGCGCUCGUUGCGGGACUUAACCCAACAUCUCACGACACGAGCUGACGACAACCAUGCACCACCUGCACACGGCCCCAAAGGACCCCGCAUCUCUGCGGGUACACCGUGCAUGUCAAGCCCUGGUAAGGUUCUUCGCGUUGCAUCGAAUUAAGCCGCAUGCUCCGCCGCUUGUGCGGGCCCCCGUCAAUUCCUUUGAGUUUUAGCCUUGCGGCCGUACUCCCCAGGCGGGGCGCUUAAUGCGUUAGCUACGGCACGGAAACCGUGGAAACAGUCCCCACACCUAGCGCCCAACGUUUACAGCGUGGACUAC
Molecule: unclassified non-coding RNA, 385 nt
Filed under: uncultured Actinomycetes bacterium
Lineage: Bacteria; Bacillati; Actinomycetota; Actinomycetes
Description: uncultured actinobacterium contains 16S-23S intergenic spacer region
Source: RNAcentral